AAAGGGAGACCUAAUUCGGGUAUAAGACGAAAAAAUAGUAGUCGAAACCAAGAAUCAAUCCCAAAAGGUCGGAACGAGGUAUGUGGCUUUCAAACUAGGUUCUGGGUUCAAACAAGACCUGAAUCAGGAACAAGGGCUAUUAGCUCAGGUGGUUAGAGCGCACCCCUGAUAAGGGUGAGGUCCCUGGUUCGAGUCCAGGAUGGCCCACCUGCACAGGUGGCAAAAACAAGAGAAGCGAGGAAUCAGCACCUUAUCUUACUGACAUAGUAAGAGAGAAUGCUGGCUCUGAGUAAAGAGUCCAGAGGAACCUUGAAAACUGCAUAGAGCUAGGUGAAAAAGCCAAAAAAGAAGACCGCAAG
This 359-nucleotide transfer RNA is filed under the name uncultured Microcystis sp. RNAcentral's name for it is "partial 16S-23S ribosomal RNA intergenic spacer". The stretch from base 134 to 207 matches the Rfam family "tRNA". Lineage: Bacteria; Bacillati; Cyanobacteriota; Cyanophyceae; Chroococcales; Microcystaceae. The record is from RNAcentral.